This is a long non-coding RNA of Triticum aestivum (bread wheat), 2244 nucleotides long. RefSeq lists it as uncharacterized. The transcript has 5 exons. Lineage: Eukaryota; Viridiplantae; Streptophyta; Magnoliopsida; Poales; Poaceae. The record is from RefSeq and is a predicted model, not a curated record.
AACUAUCCACCUUACUUGUUAUUCUAAACAAAAUCACACAUCGUCUUCACGGGCGAUUGGAUCUGAGCUUGAGGCGGAGAUGGCGGAGGACGGAGGCAGAGGCCGCCGUCUCUGCCGGUCGACGACGGAGAAACGGCCGCAACCGAGGAGGACGGCCAUGGAGGGGAGGGUGCUGCCUCGAUCCGGAUGAGGGGAGCAGAUGCUGCGACCUCGAUGCGGAUGAGGAGAGCAGCAACCGCGCCCCUGUUCUUCGCGGCGCGGCGGCCUCGGCUAGGAGCUUUGCCCUCUUAUUCCCGCGCGGUGCAGCGGCGACCUCAGGACGAGUUCGAGGCACAGUGGUCGUUCCAGCACACGAUGCCGGGGGAGGCGGCGGUGCUUCAUUGCCUCAUCUGUUCUCCUUAUCUCAGGUCCGUCCGACGGCAGAUGCACACCCGACGUCGUCAUGGAGGCUCCGACCCCGAGGCACCCUCCCUGCUUCCUUCUGGUUGCAUCUCCCCCUGAUUCUAUUUUAUCCAUGCCUACACGAUGCACAACAGAACUCCUAGCAGGCUUGCAAUCUCACGCGUAAGGGAAGAUGUGUUCCUCUCUGGCUAGCACCUGCUCGAUCAAAUGCCUAGCCAUUUCAAUCGUUUAUUGUAGGAAAUAUAAGGUGCACCCAAAUAGGAGGCCAUUCUGUGUAGCCUAUUCUUUUCAGUUCUAGGAAUCCUAUGGUAGAGGGUGGUGUUAGUUCUAUAAAUAACUUUCAGACAUUUGUAGUUUUUUAGGUUGUAGCGUGACAACUUUGAUCAAAAUUUGUUUCAGUUGACUCUACAUUCCAUUCGUUGAUUUUGUGUUCUUAACUGAAAGCAGAGUUUGUCGAUGUAAGUGACUUGGAUUAGUAUUCUUCUCUUUGCUAUGCUAAUAUUCACCUUGCUUCAGUUGACCCCACUUUCCGUUCAUUGAUUUUGUGUUCUUAACGGAAAGCAGAGUUUGUUGGUGUAAGUGACUUGGAUCAGUAUUCUUCUUUUUGCAUAUGCUAAUAUUCACCUUUAACAACUGCUAAAGUAUCAUGGCAUUAUAUCAAACUCUGCUCUGCCCAAAUUUUCCAGGCCUGAAGAGAGGAAGUAGGCCGGCGGCAAGGAUCCCGUGACGAGCGCCUCCGUAGCGCAGAUACUUUGGAUCUAUGUGCUUUGGCCAAAUUGGUCGAGCCUGAGACUGAUUAGAAGACCUUUUCUGAUAUCCUUGAAUUAGCCGUGGAAGGCAGAGGAAGUAGAGAUAAAAAUGACAGAUGGGCCUGGAAGAUACACCAGAAACAGAAGAAAAAGUUCUCAAAAUUGCGAAAGAGCGAUAUAGAGGCCGGUGAUCAACUCUAAGCUCCACUUACAAGGCAUACAAAACAGAUGCAGCUAGAUUGGCUAAUCUGCCGGAAGAUUUACAACCGGAAGAGUGAAUGGAUGAUUGAGUACUUUGGCACUGAUUCAAAAUUUCAGGAACACAACCGAAAGAACACCGAUAACCGUAAGAAACAGAAGACAAAACACAGAAUUAGAUCAAAAUCUUACUCGCAACUAAGUUUUGAUAAGGUAUGAGUCUAAGUAAAUAUGUAUGCCUUGCUGCUAACUCUCAUACACACGAAGAAUGGAACAUGGUCUAACACAGAAUCCCAGGAUGUUUAAGUGAGUACACUGACUUUUGGUUAUUCUAUAGUUAUUCAAUGAUGUGCAUUCGGCAUGCUUUUGCAUCAGCUGGGAUUAUUCAUGUGUUGGAUCGUGUUAUUCUUGUUUCAUCUUUUAUAGUGUAAAUAUUGAUGCGGCACCUAUAAUUGUUCUUUCCGUUUUGAGGACAAAACACGUAAUAGGUUGAAAACAAAGAAACUGAAACUCAUGGUCCACUUUCAAGUGAGCAUGUCAUUGGCCUUCAUAAUUUGCUAGCUGCUUCUUCUCUUUCACCAUGCGUGGGUGCUGCAUUGAGUCACAACUUAAAAAAAUGAAUAUGUGCUAGCUAGGGACAUGAACUUAACUGAAACUAUAGAUCGAGUCACAACUUAAAUCAAUAGCGGAAGCUUUUAGUACAUGUACUUGUGCAUAAACUUUAGACAUUUACACUUGUAAAACUGUUCUUACCCCUCAGUUACAUGCUUGCUGACACAGUAUUACUCCUCCGGUAGUCUGGCAACAAUUCGUUUUAACAAUGGGUCUGGAAUAAUUGUAUGGCAUAUGUUAUGUUGCACUCAUUAACUAGAACUAUAUAUUUUUGAUUUCUUGA